This 291-nucleotide long non-coding RNA is filed under the name Lathyrus oleraceus (garden pea). RNAcentral's name for it is "Pisum sativum (pea) long non-coding RNA (PSAT_LNC041706)". The record is from RNAcentral. Lineage: Eukaryota; Viridiplantae; Streptophyta; Magnoliopsida; Fabales; Fabaceae.
UUCUUUAUUGCUUUUCUCAUCUUUUCUUUAUCGUUUUUCUUUGUUGUUUUUAGAUAGUUUGUUUAUUUUCAUUGCCCUUUAGUUAUUUAUUUUGCUUUUUAGUUUAAGUGUCUUAGAUAAUGCAUGAGUCUGACGAGUCACCAAAUAUAGUGUAUCUUUAGUACAAUCUAAUCUCCCCAUACCUUUAGCCCCACCGAAAUUUUUUUGCAAAAGAAAACAGUGUUAUUCCGAAAGUUUUCGGGUUUUAAAGAUAGGUAUUGAGUAAGGAUGCGGUGACUUGGGAGAACUUUG